ACCCGCUGAACUUAAGCAUAUCAAUAAGCGGAGGAAAAGAAACCAACAGGGAUUGCCCUAGUAACGGCGAGUGAAGCGGCAACAGCUCAAAUUUGAAAUCUGGCGUCUUUGGCGUCCGAGUUGUAAUUUGCAGAGGGCGCUUUGGCAUUGGCAGCGGUCCAAGUUCCUUGGAACAGGACGUCACAGAGGGUGAGAAUCCCGUACGUGGUCGCUAGCCUUUACCGUGUAAAGCCCCUUCGACGAGUCGAGUUGUUUGGGAAUGCAGCUCUAAAUGGGAGGUAAAUUUCUUCUAAAGCUAAAUACUGGCCAGAGACCGAUAGCGCACAAGUAGAGUGAUCGAAAGAUGAAAAGCACUUUGGAAAGAGAGUCAAACAGCACGUGAAAUUGUUGAAAGGGAAGCGCUUGCAGCCAGACUUGCUUACAGUUGCUCAUCCGGGCUUUUGCCCGGUGCACUCUUCUGUAGGCAGGCCAGCAUCAGUUUGGGCGGUAGGAUAAAGGUCUCUGUCACGUACCUCUCUUCGGGGAGGCCUUAUAGGGGAGACGACAUACUACCAGCCUGGACUGAGGUCCGCGCAUCUGCUAGGAUGCUGGCGUAAUGGCUGU
RNAcentral lists this ribosomal RNA (603 nucleotides) under uncultured fungus. Its description in RNAcentral is "eukaryotic LSU rRNA". It matches the Rfam family "Eukaryotic large subunit ribosomal RNA", at positions 23 to 641 of the family's 3401-position model. Lineage: Eukaryota; Fungi. The record is from RNAcentral.